Non-coding RNA from Drosophila suzukii, 1300 nucleotides. The record is from RefSeq and is a predicted model, not a curated record. NCBI's taxonomy places the organism in Eukaryota, Metazoa, Arthropoda, Insecta, Diptera, Drosophilidae.
GACAAUUCAGUACAAUAUUUUUUCUCGCACGUUAUCACGUCCGCUGAAAAUUAAAGUAGAUACUCCUUAAAAUUUGAAAGGACAUACCCCUGCCUACAAGAGGAGUUUAUAUAAGUAAUUUUCAGCGAUGAUAUGCUGAAGUAGAUUACAUCAUAUGACAGUGGAACAACAGUACAUUAGGCAGCCGCAAUGAAGGACGCUAAGCAAGCCAUAAAGACAUGAUGCCAACGAAGGACAAGGACAAGCGUAUGAAUUCUUAGUCAAACAAGUCUUUGGACAGCGCCUUAGUGCCGACAGUAGAUCCAGAAAACCCUUAGCCCUUGCAAACAGACACCUCCUCUGUACUUCUUUUGUCCUGUACACCGAUCUUAAAAACGUCGCCGCAAGUGAUCGUCGACAAGAAUCCAAUGCCACCACCAAAUUCAUCUAGGAUAGUCAAGCCCCGCCGAUAACCCAACAAUUACAAGGUGAAACAGGAGCCGAUAGAACGCAGCAACUUCUGACACCAUCCCCAUCAUAUGCCAUUUCUAGUCCAUGAGAAGAGUGCCAACCUAACGCCCACGAAACCAAGAGCCAUUGAUCUUAAACGAGAGAUAGCCAAGGAGCAGAUAAAGCCCUGAUGUCCAGGAAGGUGCAUCAAAUCGUGUCUCCCGGAGAAUGAUUGGCAGACUAGCUCCACAUUUCACCUUGAGGAUGUCAUUGACAGAAACAUGUCAAAAUACCCUUUAAUAACUAGCCGAAAGCAGGUACAGUGUCUUCAGCAUUUCGUCUCCCUCAGCCGUGGUCAUGGCAAACACUUGGAUCAUCCCGACUCGUAGAGUCUAGCUGACACUCCGGGCAUUUCCUUAUUCACAUAUUAGACGAAAUUCAUUUCACGAAGGAGUGGUUCUGAGGAUAGUGCGCAGACCUCACUAAAUUUCUGCAAAUUUACGGUCCAAGGUUAGUUGGCACCGUAAAAGUAACGUAAGCAUAUGAGUGUAAGAGCCUUGAAAUUCACCAUUUCGAUAGUCUUCGUCACGAUAUCGCUUUGGGCUUCGGCCAACAUUGCGCUACUUCUUCAGUUGAUAAUCAUCACAAUGCCAUUGACUCAUAUCCAGCCUAUCUGAUAUCGCACUUCGAUCACAGCUGACAUAGAUGUUGGGCAUAUAUGUCGGGUGUGAUCGAAGUGCGACAUGAACAAUGAAAUGCCCGAAAUGACGGCUAAACUUUUUGAAUCGGGAAUGAUGCCAGUGUUUCCCAUGACCACGGCUGAGGCGGAUGAAGUGUUGAAGAAACUGUUCCGGCUUUCGGCUAGUUAGUA